UCCUAAGUCAGAUAGGGGACGAA
This 23-nucleotide unclassified non-coding RNA is filed under the name Mus musculus (house mouse). RNAcentral describes it as "oocyte_clustered_small_RNA8584". Lineage: Eukaryota; Metazoa; Chordata; Mammalia; Rodentia; Muridae. The record is from RNAcentral.